Molecule: unclassified non-coding RNA, 1828 nt
Filed under: Eurytemora carolleeae
Lineage: Eukaryota; Metazoa; Arthropoda; Copepoda; Calanoida; Temoridae
Description: sestrin-2
Source: RNAcentral
GUUCAUGUGAAAUUGAAAAAUAAUGACUCUGGCGGUGCCUUUGGAACUUAUUUAUAGUAAAGAGGUUGAUAUAGCUGAUGAGGGGAUUGAUGAAAUGGAAGAGGAAAGUCAGGACUCUCUUCAGAUCGAUGAGAUUGAUUCAAUAAAAUCUCUGAUCCAACAUUUCUCCAGUCGUCAUCUUCAGUCCUCAUGGAAGGUAAUGAGUGAGCACAACGAAUAUUUCUCCUGUUUUCUCCGGACUCAUUAUACUCUUAUUAGAGGAGACGGACCUCUACCUGCACACGUCAGACAUUUCAUCGCUAUCAUGGCGGCAGGUGCACAUAGCUGUUUUCCUCUUGUUGAAUUGCACAAGACUGAGUUGAUAGCUGCUGGUGGACCCAUCUCUUGGCUAGAGCAUGGUCUUUCAGCUGCUUCAGUUAAAGUUCAGAGACUGAGCGAAAUUAAUCGGAUACUCGCUCAUCAACCCUGGACUCUCACGCCUGCACAUAUAGAAGCUAUCACGAGAUCUGGUACUCCUGGAAACUGGUCUCUAUCUGAGCUGGUUUACGCCAUUGUUUUAAUGGCACAUUUUCAUGCAUUCUCAUCUUUCAUAGAAAGCUGUUCUUCAAUGGAGGAGGAUGAUAUUAAAAAUAAAUUUGGAAAACCUACAGUUUCCCCUCAAGAAUUUAAAGAUGAGAACCCGACCCGACCAUUUGAUUGUACAUCACAGAACUGCUCCCCAACCAGGACGAGCGAAAGAGUCAAAUCAUCCUCCAAAGUUUCUAAACAUCCUCAAGGCUUGGAUCAGUUUUCAAAAUCACCACCAUAUGAUUGUAGUAGACCAAAGACUGCAAAGGGAUCCCCAGAGACAGAUUUAGUGGAUACGCUUGUACAGAAAAUGCAGCUGCUGAGAGAAAAGCCGGAACCAGAUAGUGAUGAGCUUGCUGCAACGUUUGACAAGGUAAAAAUGACGAGUGCUGACAUUGGACUUGGAGCUGAGGCUAGACGAACCACACCUGAUCUAAGAAAGUUUGUGACGAACCCUGAUUUCCACUAUGUUGAUUUUGCUCAGAGAGAAUUCAAACAGCAGUUUCCAACUUUUAGAAUACAGGAUUAUAAUUGGGACGAGCAAGGGUUUUCCUUGAUAUCACGGUUUUACGACGACAUUGCACAACUGCUAGACGACAAAUUUAAAACAGCAUACAACAUGACAUAUGGUACAAUGGGGCGGUAUUCGGCCAUUGAUACAUCUAUGUAUAGACGAGCUACAUGGAAUUACAUUCAGUGUCUAUAUGGUAUUCGUUGGGACGACUACGAUUACGCAGAGGUGAAUGAGCUUUUACACAGGUCUCUGAAAGGAUAUGUUAAGACGGCUGCCUGCUACCCGGACCGCUGUUCACGGCAGGAUUACAAACACAUAAUGACAGAUUUUCUGCCAUCCGAGAAAAUUCACGUCUGUUUACUUGUGGCUGAAGCUAAAUUCCAAUCUGAGCUUCUUUAUGCUCUCAAGGCAGUGGCUGUGUAUUUCAGAUCAUAACAAAAAGAAUUUCUCACGGUACAAGUUAUCCUUUUUGUUUGAUUAACAGUAAUAUUCCAAUUUCUAAAAAUUUUAAAAUUAAUUGGAUUGUCGGUGUAACAAACGAAGAGUGAGUGUUCUUGAGGGGAGAAAAUACAGCAAAUCAAAUCAAAUUAAACCAAGUAAAUUCAUCUUAUUUGUGAUUUUUGUCAGUACUUCAUAGACAAAAGUGGCAGGAUCAAUUGCGAAUUCAGAAAGAUUUAAACCACCUUCCUACCUAAAGAUUCUAUUGAAGACCAACUGGUUUCUAAACUGGAAAAUUAGUUGUUAAGA